GGAGUCCUUGGGCCGGGAGCACUACGGGCCGCCCCAUCCCCAGCUCUCCGCUGCGCUCCCCGCGGGCCGGGACUCACCACGCAUUUCUUGCCGAGGAAGCUGAAGAGGCUCUCGUUCUCCUGCGGGGAUAGGACUGAAGAAGCAUAGGAAGAAAGGAACUAGAGAGGCACAGGAGGAAAACCUGUGAACACAAGUUGUACAAAGCUGUACCGACUUCUCUACAUAUCUCCCAGAAGAAGAACAGAUGGCAACCCCUUCUGCUCUGCUUAUAGGCCCUUUUCCCUGUACUUAACAGACUGUAACUGUGUCCAGAAGUGUAAAGAAGGGAGAAUAUGGUGGAAAAUCCUGAGCUUCCAGCAUAAAAAGAAUUUUAAAUACAUGCAUAUACAGGACUUCUCAACCUGCAGAUCUCGUAGAAGUGGCUUGGGCCUUUGCUGUAAAGGAAGAACAGUAGGAACCAAUGCUUCCAAAAUACAUUUCAGCGAUCCUAGGUUCUCCAGUUUUCAUUCCUUUCUUGUGCAAGUGCAUGCAUAUUUUAGUGGAAGAGGAAAUAUUUUAGCUAAAGAAUAUUGGCAGUAUUUUGCUUACUGAAAAUGUGUGUAAAAAGAUAAAAUACAUGUAAGCACUUUGCAAGAUAUUUGUGUUUUGUGGGAGUUUUAUUUCUUAGUUGUUUUUUUUUUAUUACACAAAACAAACAAUUAUUUUAUAGCCAAAGCUGUUUCAAGGAUAUCUACAUACCUCUGUGGUGAUAAUCAUGUAAAUAGCUAAAAGUACAGUACACCUUUGGUGGGUACAUGCUGGUACUGUCCUCGCCUCUCUGAGCACUUGUGUUCCUUGAUUUUUUGUUUUUUCUUUCUCAUUUCUGUUAGCUUUUACUGUUUGUUCCUUCUUGUGUAGAUCUUGCCAUUCAAAGAGAGUUCUGGGUAUAACGGGUGAUACGUUUUGCUUCAUACUGUUCUUGUCAGACCAGCUGGCUGGUAGUUCUUUGUAAGGGCCCUUUAACCUUCAGGCUCUAUUGUUAGGAUUUAUUUGCUUUUUUUUAAUAGGGGUAGGCAGGAAAGGGAAGAAAAAAGGACUAUUUUCAGACUCUCUAUUUCAUUAAUUAUGCAAAAGCUCUUUCUGUUUUUGUACCAUAGCAAAGCAGUGAGUCCUGAAGGUAAAUGGAACUAUCAGUAUCUGGUGAUAAGUCCAAGCGAUCCACUGAAAAACAGAUUUUUGCCUUUGAUAUUUACAUUUACAGUAGUAUCAGCAAAGAGCUGCUAUUCCUGCAUAAAACAUCCAAUUUCAAGCAAAGCUCUCAAGGAAAGCCACCAGCUGGAAUUAUCUGUGUAUAUUUUGAAGAAAUUGCAGUGUUCUUUCUGAUCUCUCAUAGGGAAAUUGCUGUCAUUGUUUAUCUGAGGCUUUCCUCAGAAUUUCUCACUGUAGUCCUUAGGGUUCAAGCUGUGUUAUCCACCGCUCAUGUCUAAGCUUUAUGGGAGGCUGCUCUUCUGUAUUUUUCCAUUUCAAGAUACCAGCUCGUAGCACCAAGGUACUGAAAUACAUUGGAAGUGACAUAGCAAGUGUAUCAAUAUAAGCAAGUGUAACGAUUUGAAAGAUUUAUAUUAUAAAUACUUAUUUAAUAAACAGGUUUUAUUAUCCUUGUCA
Strigops habroptila (Kakapo) is the source of this 1644-nucleotide long non-coding RNA. RefSeq lists it as uncharacterized. The record is from RefSeq and is a predicted model, not a curated record. The transcript has 2 exons. Lineage: Eukaryota; Metazoa; Chordata; Aves; Psittaciformes; Psittacidae.